CCUACGGGGGGCUGCAGUGAGGAAUAUUGGUCAAUGGACGAGAGUCUGAACCAGCCAAGUAGCGUGAAGGAUGACUGCCCUAUGGGUUGUAAACUUCUUUUAUAAAGGAAUAAAACGAGCCACGUGUGCCUUUUUGCAUGUACUCUAUGAAUAAGGAUCGGCUCACUCCGUGCCAGCAGCCGCGGUAAUACGGAGGAUCCGAGCGUUAUCCGGAUUUAUUGGGUUUAAAGGGAGCGUAGUGGGGUUGUUAAGGCAGUUGUGAAAGUUUGCGGGUCAACCGUCAAAUUGCAAUUGAUACUGGCAGUCCUGAGUGCGGGUGAAGUAGGCGGAAUGCGUGGUGUAGCGGUGAAAUGCUUAGAUAUCACGAAGAACCCCGAUUGCGAAGGCAGCUUACUAACCUGUGACUGACAUUGAUGCUCGAAAGUGUGGGUAUCAAACAGGAUUAGAUACCCGUGUAGUC
This 460-nucleotide ribosomal RNA is filed under the name uncultured bacterium. Its description in RNAcentral is "partial 16S ribosomal RNA". It matches the Rfam family "Bacterial small subunit ribosomal RNA", at positions 338 to 795 of the family's 1533-position model. The record is from RNAcentral.